RNAcentral lists this ribosomal RNA (471 nucleotides) under uncultured bacterium. RNAcentral describes it as "partial 16S ribosomal RNA". It matches the Rfam family "Bacterial small subunit ribosomal RNA", at positions 28 to 506 of the family's 1533-position model. The record is from RNAcentral.
GACGAACGCUGGCGGCGUGCUUAACACAUGCAAGUCGAACGCUGAAGCUUGGUGCUUGCACUGGGUGGAUGAGUGGCGAACGGGUGAGUAAUACGUGAGUAACCUGCCCUUGACUCUGGGAUAAGCCUGGGAAACUGGGUCUAAUACUGGAUACGACAUGCCACUGCAUGGUGGUGUGUGGAAAGGGUUUUACUGGUUUUGGAUGGGCUCACGGCCUAUCAGCUUGUUGGUGGGGUAAUGGCCUACCAAGGCGACGACGGGUAGCCGGCCUGAGAGGGUGACCGGCACACCGGGGACGGGGACACGGCCCAGCCUCCUACGGGGGGGAGAGGGGGGGAAUUUGGCACAAGGGGGGGAGGCCGAAGGCAGGGACGCCGGGGGGGGGAGGAGGGCCUUGGGGUGGUAACCCUUUUCCAGCACGGAAGAGGGGGGGGGGGCGGUACGGGAAAAAGAAGCCCCGGCUAACUACGU